This 228-nucleotide ribosomal RNA is filed under the name uncultured bacterium. Its description in RNAcentral is "partial 16S ribosomal RNA". It matches the Rfam family "Bacterial small subunit ribosomal RNA", at positions 568 to 796 of the family's 1533-position model. The record is from RNAcentral.
UCCGUAGGCGGGUAAUUAAGUCAGAGGUGAAAUCCCACAGCUUAACUGUGGAACUGCCUUAGAUACUGGUUAUCUUGAGUUUUAGUGAAGUAGAUAGAAUGUGUAGUGUAGCGGUGAAAUGCAUAGAUAUUACACAGAAUACCGAUUGCGAAGGCAGUCUACUAACUAACAACUGACGCUAAUGGACGAAAGCGUGGGGAGCGAACAGGAUUAGAUACCUGGUAGUCC